GUAGGGUGCGAGCGUUAGUCGGAUUUACUGGGCGUAAAGCGUGCGCAGGCGGCCCGUUAAGACAGGUGUGAAAUCCCUGGGCUCAACCUAGGAAUUGCGCUUGUGACUGGCGGGCUCGAGUACGGUAGAGGGGGGUGGAAUUCCUGGUGUAGCAGUGAAAUGCGUAGAGAUCAGGAGGAACACCGAUGGCGAAGGCAGCCCCCUGGGCCUGUACUGACGCUCAUGCACGAAAGCGUGGGGAGCAAACAGGAUUACAUACCCUGGUAGUCCACGCCCUAAACGAUGGGUACUAGCCGUUUGGUGCGCGAUAGCGCUGAGUGGCGAAGCUAACGCGUGAAGUACCCCGCCUGGGGAGUACGGCCGCAACGUUG
This 371-nucleotide ribosomal RNA is filed under the name uncultured beta proteobacterium. RNAcentral's name for it is "bacterial SSU rRNA". It matches the Rfam family "Bacterial small subunit ribosomal RNA", at positions 527 to 896 of the family's 1533-position model. The record is from RNAcentral. Lineage: Bacteria; Pseudomonadati; Pseudomonadota; Betaproteobacteria.